AUGGAGCCCCGUGUUCAUGGAGCCCUGUGUUCAGGCCCUGUGUUCAUGGAGCCCUGUGUUCAGGCCCUGUGUUCAUGGAGCCCUGUGUUCAUGGAGCCCUGUGUUCAUGGAGCCCUGUUUUCAUGGAGCCCUAUGUUCAUGGAGCCCUGUGGUCAGGCCCUGUGUUCAUGGAGUCCUGUGUUCAUGGAGUCCUGUGUUCAUGGAGCCCUGUGUUCAUGGAGCCCUGUGUUCAUGGAGCCCUGUGUUCAGGCCCUGUUUUCAUGGAGCCCUGUUUUCAUGGAGCCCUGUGUUCAUGGAGCCCUGUGUUCAUGGAGCCCUGUGUUCAGGCCCUGUUUUCAUGGAGCCCUGUUUUCAUGGAGCCCUGUUUUCAUGGAGCCCUGUUCAUGGAGCCCUGUGUUCAUGGAGCCCUGUUUUCAUGGAGCCCUGUGUUCAUGGAGCCCUGUGUUCAGGCCCCGUGUUCAUGGAGCCCCGUGUUCAUGGAGCCCCGUGUUCAUGGAGCUCUGUGUUCAUGGAGCCUUGUGUUCAUGGAGCCUUGUGUCCAUGGAGCCCUGUGUUCAUGGAGCCUUGUUUUCAUGGAGCCUUGUUUUCAUGGAGCCCUGUGUUCAUGGAGUCCUGUGUUCAUGGAGCUCUGUGUUCAUGGAGCCUUGUGUUCAUGGAGCCCUGUGUUCAUGGAGCUCUGUGUUCAUGGAGCUCUGUGUUCAUGGAGCCUUGUGUUCAUGGAGCCUUGUGUUCAUGGAGCCCUGUGUUCAUGGAGCCCUGUGUUCAUGGAGCUCUGUGUUCAUGGAGCUCUGUGUUCAUGGAGCUCUGUGUUCAUGGAGCUCUGUGUUCAUGGAGCUCUGUGUUCAUGGAGCUCUGUGUUCAUGGAGCCCUGUGUUCAUGGAGCUCUGUGUUCAUGGAGCCUUGUGUUCAUGGAGCCCUGUGUUCAUGGAGCCCUGUGUUCAUGGAGCCCUGUGUUCAUGUAGCCUUGUGUUCAUGGAGCCCUGUGUUCAUGGAGCUCUGUGUUCAGGCCCUGUGUUCAUGGAGCCCUGUGUUCAUGGAGCGCUGUGUUCAGACCCUGUUUUCAUGGAGCCCUAUGUUCAUGGAGCCCUGUGUUCAUGGAGCCCUGUUUUUCAGGCCCUGUGUUCAAGCCUUGUGUUCAUGGAGCUUUGUGUUCAUGGAGCUCUGUGUUCAUGGAGCUCUGUGUUCAUGGAGCCGUGUGUUCAUGGAGCCCUGUUUUUCAGGCCCUGUGUUCAGGCCCUGUGUUCAUGGACCUCUGUGUUCAGGCCCUGUGUUCAAGCCUUGUGUUCAUGGAGCCCUGUGUUCAUUGGAGUCCUGCUUUGUUUAACUUACACAUUCCUUCAAACGAACAGUGUUUACAUCAGUGUAGCCAGAGAACACCCCUAA
This 1383-nucleotide long non-coding RNA is filed under the name Oncorhynchus mykiss (rainbow trout). RNAcentral describes it as "lncRNA (ENSOMYG00000058247.1)". Lineage: Eukaryota; Metazoa; Chordata; Actinopteri; Salmoniformes; Salmonidae. The record is from RNAcentral.